This 258-nucleotide long non-coding RNA is filed under the name Lathyrus oleraceus (garden pea). RNAcentral's name for it is "Pisum sativum (pea) long non-coding RNA (PSAT_LNC004469)". The record is from RNAcentral. Lineage: Eukaryota; Viridiplantae; Streptophyta; Magnoliopsida; Fabales; Fabaceae.
UCGGGGCUUCUAACAUAUCAGCUGCGACCAGAUAAUGUUUACUGGGAGCCUUUGUUCUUCAUUUAAACGUCAAACCCACGGGGCUCUGAACGUCGUGUAAAACUAGAACACCUAUGAAUUUAAACGGUGUGAUCAAUUUAUCAAAGGUAAAGCAUCUGACUUAUCUUAAUCUUCCAGAUUAGAUGGUCAGGAUAAGACAAUUACGCCGACCUACAAGGUCGGCCCUAAAUCCGUAACACAAAUAAUAGUAAGUGAAAU